RNA transcript from Alligator mississippiensis (American alligator), 4807 nucleotides. It is a transcript of the gene named transportin 2, with no coding region annotated. The record is from RefSeq and is a predicted model, not a curated record. The transcript has 26 exons. Lineage: Eukaryota; Metazoa; Chordata; Crocodylia; Alligatoridae.
UGCUGUUCACGUGGUCUCGGCGGACGGCGGCCGGCUGGGGUCAGCGCCCGCGUGUCGCGUUUGCCUCGCGCCGCCGCCGCCUCGAGCCCGGGCCGCCGCCACCACCAAUCCCCCCUCCCCCCUCGCACCCCCUAGCCAGUUGCAGCUACCCCCUGCCAUGGACUGGCAACCAGAUGAGCAGGGGCUGCAGCAGGUCUUGCAGCUGCUCAAGGACUCACAGUCACCUAACACGGCCACGCAGCGCAUAGUCCAGGAUAAACUGAAACAGCUCAAUCAGUUCCCAGAUUUCAACAACUAUCUUAUCUUCGUCCUGACUAGGCUGAAAUCAGAAGAUGAGCCAACGCGCUCCCUCAGUGGGCUCAUCCUGAAGAACAAUGUCAAAGCUCAUUACCAGAGCUUUCCACCGCCCGUGGCUGAGUUUAUCAAGCAGGAGUGUCUCAACAACAUUGGUGAUGCUUCCUCCCUCAUUCGCGCCACCAUUGGAAUCCUCAUCACCACCAUCGCCUCCAAGGGGGAGCUGCAGAUGUGGCCAGAGCUGCUGCCUCAGUUGUGCAACCUGCUUAACUCUGAGGACUACAACACCUGCGAGGGGGCCUUUGGGGCCUUGCAAAAGAUCUGCGAGGACUCGUCGGAGCUCUUGGACAGCGACGCCCUCAAUCGCCCCCUCAAUGUCAUGAUCCCCAAGUUCCUGCAGUUCUUCAAGCAUUGCAGCCCUAAGAUCAGAUCCCAUGCCAUCGCUUGCGUGAACCAGUUCAUCAUGGACCGGGCUCAGGCGCUGAUGGAUAACAUUGACACCUUCAUUGAGCACUUGUUUGCUCUGGCGGUGGAUGAAGACCCUGAGGUUCGGAAGAACGUGUGCCGGGCCUUGGUGAUGCUGCUGGAGGUGCGGAUCGACCGUCUCAUCCCACACAUGCACAGCAUCAUCCAGUACAUGCUGCAGCGCACUCAGGACAGCGAUGAGAAUGUGGCGCUGGAGGCCUGUGAGUUCUGGCUCACACUGGCUGAGCAGCCCAUCUGCAAGGAGGCCCUGACUUCUCACUUAGUACAGCUGAUCCCCAUCCUGGUGAAUGGCAUGAAAUAUUCAGAGAUUGACAUCAUCCUGCUUAAGGGUGAUGUGGAGGAGGAUGAGGCCAUCCCAGACAGCGAGCAGGACAUCAAGCCACGCUUCCACAAGUCGCGCACGGUAACACUGCAGCACGAGGAGGAGCGGGCCCAGGACGGCGAGGACGGCGACGAUGAGGACGAUGAUGAUGACACUCUCUCGGACUGGAACCUCCGAAAGUGCUCUGCAGCUGCCCUGGAUGUUCUGGCCAAUGUGUUCCGGGAGGAGCUGCUGCCCCAUCUGCUGCCUCUGCUCAAAGGACUGCUUUUCCACCCCGAGUGGGUCAUCAAGGAGUCGGGCAUCCUGGUGCUGGGUGCCAUCGCUGAGGGCUGCAUGCAGGGCAUGGUGCCCUACCUGCCCGAGCUCAUCCCACACCUGAUCCAGUGCCUGUCGGACAAGAAGGCGCUGGUGCGCUCCAUCGCGUGCUGGACGCUAAGCCGCUACGCGCACUGGGUUGUGAGCCAGCCCCCUGACACCUACCUCAAGCCCCUCAUGACCGAGCUGCUUAAGCGUAUCCUGGACAGCAACAAGCGUGUGCAGGAGGCAGCAUGCAGCGCCUUUGCCACCCUGGAGGAAGAGGCCUGCACAGAGCUGGUUCCCUACCUCAGCUUCAUACUGGACACACUGGUUUUUGCCUUUGGGAAGUACCAGCACAAAAACCUGCUCAUCUUGUACGAUGCCAUCGGCACACUGGCUGACUCUGUGGGGCACCACCUUAACCAACCGGAGUACAUCCAGAAGCUGAUGCCUCCCCUGAUUCAGAAGUGGAACGAGUUGAAGGAUGAGGACAAGGACCUCUUCCCACUGCUGGAAUGCCUGUCGUCCGUGGCAACCGCCCUCCAGAGUGGCUUCCUGCCCUACUGUGAACCCGUGUACCAGCGCUGUGUCACCCUGGUGCAAAAGACCCUUGCCCAGGCCAUGAUGUACAGCCAGCAUCCUGAGCAGUACGAAGCACCUGACAAGGACUUCAUGAUCGUGGCGCUAGACCUACUGAGUGGCCUGGCCGAGGGGCUGGGCUGCCACGUGGAGCAGCUGGUUGCACGCAGCAACAUCAUGACGCUACUCUUCCAGUGCAUGCAGGACACGAUGCCUGAGGUUCGGCAGAGUUCCUUCGCACUCCUGGGCGACCUCACCAAGGCUUGCUUUGUGCAUGUCAAACCCUGUAUUGCCGAAUUCAUGCCCAUCCUGGGCACAAACCUGAACCCUGAGUUCAUCUCGGUCUGCAACAAUGCAACGUGGGCCAUUGGUGAGAUCUGCAUGCAGAUGGGGGAGGAGAUGCAGCCAUAUGUGCAGAUGGUGCUGAACAACCUGGUGGAGAUCAUCAACCGGCCCAACACUCCCAAGACACUGCUGGAAAACACAGCCAUCACCAUUGGGCGCCUCGGCUAUGUGUGCCCACAGGAGGUUGCACCCAUGCUGCAGCAAUUUAUCCGGCCCUGGUGCACGUCACUGAGGAACAUCCGGGACAAUGAGGAGAAGGACUCUGCUUUCCGUGGCAUCUGCGUCAUGAUCCGUGCCAACCCUGCAGGCGUCAUGCAGGAUUUCAUCUUCUUUUGUGAUGCCGUCGCCUCCUGGGUGAGCCCCAAGGAUGACCUGCGGGACAUGUUUUAUAAGAUCCUCCAUGGCUUCAAGGAGCAGGCGGGUGAGGAGAGCUGGCAGCAGUUCUCAGAGCAGUUCCCGCCCCUGCUCAAGGAGCGGCUGGCAGCAUUUUACGGGGUCUAGGCAGAGCAGUGAUGCCAGCUAGCCCUCUGUCUACCUUCUCUGGCCAGGCCACACAAGUUCCCAUCCGUGCUGGGAGGGUUACCGGGAUCGUGUCAAUCCCCAGGUGUCGCCGACCCCGUUGGCGGGGGGUUAGGGAGGCCGGGAGGAGUUGAACAUGGGACAACACGACGCGACUUCCCCGCCCAGCUCCCGGACCUUGGAAGGGGGGGGCGGGGGGGGCUUAGACAGCGGGUUUCACCCACCAGGGGUCUCAGAGGAGAGGGCCUUUUAUUUUAUCCCCAUUUCCCAGAGGGGAGGGGGGGUUGGGGGGAGGUGCAGGGCCAGGUCAGGCUGGGCUGGGAGGGAGUGCAACUGCAACACCUUGAAGGGGGGCUGCCAGAGCCCAGAUGUGACCCUGCAGCUGAGGGGUGGCUGCCAGGGACUCAGCUGAGCAGCAGCAGGUCAUGGGGGGGGUGGGGGUGGGGCGGGGUGGGCUUGGCCAUGCCCUUCCAGGGGCCAUUACCCUGCUGUACCAUAGCUCCAGCUGCUGGCGCAGGCGCCAGGCUGCCCCAUCCCCCAGCCACCCUAUGCCUGCAUGACCACUGCUGUAGAGUAGCCAGCCUGUGAGUCGUGAGCCUGCGUGAUUGUUUUCACCUAGGAAGCUUCCCUCUCUCCUGCCCUGGCUUGAUGUGAUGCUCUAACACAGCAAGAAACACACUCCCUAUGAGGGUCCUGGAUCAGCAGGUGCUGGGAGUCGGGUCAGGGCAGCUGUAGGAGACGCAUGCGCUGUGUUGUGAUCUUCCUUAAAGGCAAAAGACCCCCCUCCCCCCAGUGCAGUGAAUUGUUUUAACCUGUUUUUAACCUGUCCUUUGCUGUCUCGUGACCCAAGCCCAUCAUGUGCCCCUCGGCCUUAGUGGGGGGGGUCUGUACCUUAUUCACUGGGGGCCAGGGAUAGACACAGGCUGGGGCUUGGAUCUCAUGCCUCAGCAGGUGCUUGGCUGAGGUCCUGCCACGGUGCGCAAAUCUAUUCCAGUCCUGGGUGGUCUUAAUGGCUGCAGGUUGGUGCCCUUGGGAUCCCAGGUGGGUGUGGGGGUGGAGUUUAUUUUACUAUUAAUUGGUUACCAGGCAGAAGGCAAGGGUGGGGUGUGGGGACACACUUUCAUGGAGGAAGGGGAUUGCAAGGAACUGCUGCUGCUGCUGGGAGAAGUUGAUCUGGUGCAGCCAGGAUCAGCGGGGUAGGUGAUGGGGGAAGAGAAAAUCUAUCCCCACUGCAUCCUGCCCCACGGGGAAGCAAGAGAGAUUUCCAACUCCCAGUUGGCCUCGCCCUGUGUCAGCAGUAGGGUGCUGGUUUCCAGGCAGGGGCAGAUGCUGCCUUCCUCUGACCCUGGUCUCCUCGUACUGGAGCAUCCAUCAGCAAGGGGAACCGCCACCAGCCCAGUCCAGUGCCUGUUGAGAAGACUCCCUGUCCUGGGCCCACAUAUGAAAAGAACCACAGGCCACAGCCACUGAUGCAUUACAGGGGCCCUGUGGGGCCUAGGCUUCAUGGCUUCUUUCCCUACACCAGGGCCUUUGCUGCCUCUGAGGGGGCCUCUGCUUCUUAGCAAGGACCUCUCUUCUUUUUAAAGCAUUCCCAUUGGGUUCUGUGCUCUCUGUUCCUCUCUGCGGAAGACCGAUGCCUCCAGUGAGGGCUGCCUCUCCUGCUCUUUUGAAAUGCAUGAGCCCAGGGACCACAGCUGGAGGCUACAAGUCCCCCUUUGCGCCGGUGACGUCUUGGCGCCUUGUCCUGGAUGCCUGCAGCUCCCCAUGCUCCUUUCGUGCCAGUGCUUCUCGCUUGCGCCUCCUGGAUCCGUGUCGUCGUGGCUGUGCUGUGCAUUCUCAGUGGUGAUGCCCCUUGUGCCCCAUGUUGCAGCCGCUACUUGCACCUUGCUGGAAUGAGGUUUCUCUCAUUUUAUGUAUAAUUUUUUUUUUUUUUGUCUACUUAUGAAACGGAACAAGCCUGAGCCA